AGACGAAUCAUCUGGAAAGAUGAAUCAAAGAAGGUAAUAAUCCUGUAGUCGAAAAUGUUGUCUCUCUUGAGUGGAUCCUGAGUACGACGGAGCACGUGAAAUUCCGUCGGAAUCUGGGAGGACCAUCUCCUAAGGCUAAAUACUCUCUAGUGACCGAUAGUGAACCAGUACCGUGAGGGAAAGGUGAAAAGCACCCCGGAAGGGGAGUGAAAUAGAACCUGAAACCGUGUGCUUACAAGUAGUCAGAGCCCGUUAAUGGGUGAUGGCGUGCCUUUUGUAGAAUGAACCGGCGAGUUACGAUUUGAUGCAAGGUUAAGCAGUAAAUGUGGAGCCGUAGCGAAAGCGAGUCUGAAUAGGGCGUUUAGUAUUUGGUCGUAGACCCGAAACCAGGUGAUCUACCCUUGGUCAGGUUGAAGUUCAGGUAACACUGAAUGGAGGACCGAACCGACUUACGUUGAAAAGUGAGCGGAUGAACUGAGGGUAGCGGAGAAAUUCCAAUCGAACCUGGAGAUAGCUGGUUCUCUCCGAAAUAGCUUUAGGGCUAGCCUCAAGUGAUGAUUAUUGGAGGUAGAGCACUGUUUGGACGAGGGGCCCCUCUCGGGUUACCGAAUUCAGACAAACUCCGAAUGCCAAUUAAUUUAACUUGGGAGUC
This 652-nucleotide ribosomal RNA is filed under the name Staphylococcus aureus. RNAcentral describes it as "partial 23S ribosomal RNA". It matches the Rfam family "Bacterial large subunit ribosomal RNA", at positions 331 to 985 of the family's 2925-position model. The record is from RNAcentral. Lineage: Bacteria; Bacillati; Bacillota; Bacilli; Caryophanales; Staphylococcaceae.